AAUACAUGCAAGUCGAACGAGAAAGUACCUUCGGGUAUGAGUACAGUGGCGGACGGGUGAGUAACGCGUAGGAAUCUACCUUCAGGUGGGGGACAACUCGGGGAAACUCGAGCUAAUACCGCAUAAUACCUAAGGGUCAAAGUGGGGGAUCUUCGGACCUCACGCCAGAAGAGGAGCCUGCGUUAGAUUAGCUAGUUGGUGGGGUGAAGGCCUACCAAGGCGACGAUCUAUAGCUGGUCUGAGAGGACGAUCAGCCACACUGGAACUGAGACACGGUCCAGACUCCUACGGGAGGCAGCAGUAGGGAAUCUUAGGCAAUGGGCGAAAGCCUGACCUAGCGAUGCCGCGUGUGCGAAGAAGGCCUUAGGGUUGUAAAGCACUUUCAGUCGUGAAGAAAAACUCAGAGUUAAUAGCUAUGAGUCUUGACGUUAACGACAGAAGAAGAUCCGGCUAACUCCGUGCCAGCAGCCGCGGUAAUACGGAGGGAUCGAACGUUAAUCGGAAUUACUGGGCGUAAAGCGCGCGUAGGCGGUCUGAUAAGUGGGAUGUGAAAGCCCCGGGCUUAACCCGGGAACUGCAUUCCAAACUGUCAGACUAGAGUAUGGUAGAGGGUGGUAGAAUUUCCUGUGUAGCGGUGAAAUGCGUAGAUAUAGGAAGGAAUACCGAUGGCGAAGGCAGCCACCUGGACCAAUACUGACGCUGAGG
Molecule: ribosomal RNA, 705 nt
Filed under: uncultured bacterium
Lineage: Bacteria
Description: bacterial SSU rRNA
Rfam family: Bacterial small subunit ribosomal RNA
Source: RNAcentral